GGCAGCAGUGGGGAAUUUUCCGCAAUGGGCGAAAGCCUGACGGAGCAAUACCGCGUGAGGGAGGAAGGCUCUUGGGUUGUAAACCUCUUUUCUCAGGGAAGAAKCUCUGACGGUACCUGAGGAAUCAGCAUCGGCUAACUCCGUGCCAGCAGCCGCGGUAWUACGGAGGAUGCAAGCGUUAUCCGGAAUGAUUGGGCGUAAAGCGUCCGCAGGKGGCGAUUCAAGUCUGCUGUCAAAGGUCGGGGCUCAACCCYGRACAGGCGGUGGAAACUGAACAGCUAGAGUGCGGUAGGGGYAGAGGGAAUUCCCGGUGUAGCGGUGAAAUGCGUAGAGAUCGGGAAGAACACCRGUGGCGAAAGCGCUCURCURGGCCUGCACUGACACUCAGGGACGAAAGCUAGGGGAGCGAAUGGGAUUAGAUACCCCAGUAGUCCUAGCCGUAAACGAUGGAUACUAGGCGUGGCWUGUAUCGACCCGAGCCGUGCCGGAGCUAACGCGUUAAGUAUCCCGCCUGGGGAGUACGCGCGCAAGCGUGAAACUCAAAKGAAUUGACGGAA
RNAcentral lists this ribosomal RNA (557 nucleotides) under uncultured bacterium. Its description in RNAcentral is "bacterial SSU rRNA". It matches the Rfam family "Bacterial small subunit ribosomal RNA", at positions 347 to 918 of the family's 1533-position model. The record is from RNAcentral.